UGAUUUGAAGUUGCAUUAUGCACAGAUGGUUAUCAGUGCUAUUCUUUAUUUCUGGUAAUUAACACCCCUAAAUCCUACACACUGUAGCUUUAA
Molecule: long non-coding RNA, 93 nt
Organism: Thalassophryne amazonica
Lineage: Eukaryota; Metazoa; Chordata; Actinopteri; Batrachoidiformes; Batrachoididae
Exons: 3
Source: RefSeq, a predicted model, not a curated record